UACGAAGGGGGCGAGCGUUGUUCGGAUUUACUGGGCGUAAAGGGCGCGCAGGCGGCUUUUCAAGUCAGGCGUGAAAGCCCCGGGCUUAACCUGGGAACUGCGUCUGGGACUGAAGGGCUAGAGAUCGGGAGAGGAGAGUGGAAUUCCCAGUGUAGAGGUGAAAUUCGUAGAUAUUGGGAAGAACACCGGUGGCGAAGGCGGCUCUCUGGACCGAUACUGACGCUGAGGCGCGAAAAGCGUGGGGAGCAAACAGGG
RNAcentral lists this ribosomal RNA (255 nucleotides) under uncultured bacterium. Its description in RNAcentral is "partial 16S ribosomal RNA". It matches the Rfam family "Bacterial small subunit ribosomal RNA", at positions 524 to 777 of the family's 1533-position model. The record is from RNAcentral.